CUUUGACAUAGCAUUGGCCAACCUGCCUUUAGCAAGCUGACCGCAGGCUAAUAUUAAUUUUGGGUGCAAUUGCUAACCUUUCCUUACCAUUGCGUUGUGCUGAUAGCUGGAUUUAGCAGUUUUUAGAUGGUCUAAGAUGUUUUUUCUUGGUAAAGGAGGAUAUAAAAUGAGCUAUUUAGCAUCAACGCUUGUUUUCAUUUGAUUUUGAUGAAUGAUCUAGUCAAUGGUUGGUAAAGGGUUUUUGUAUUCAGUCAUUCUGAUUGUCCUGUAUUGGUCCAACAUGACAGUAAGCAUGGUUGGGAUGGUUAUUAUAAGUUCGGUAAGGUUUUGCUGGUCUAGAGCUGGCUCCGUCAUCCAGCUCGACCAGCUAAAUGUUUUUCCAGACUGUUUUUUCCAGCAGGAAUAUCAUUGGCCACCCUUAUUUUGGCACAUUAUUGUGGAAUGUUUCUUACACUGUCGUUGUCUAAUCAUCCGUUAGCGUACCGCUGACUAACCUUAUGUCUGUUCUGUGUCUUUUCUACAGAGCAAGUGCCCAAUCAGCAGCAGGGUCAGCCCCCGCUGCCCCCAGCCCCGCCUCCCCAUAAGCAGCAGCCGUUGGUGACGGCGCUGAACCACAGCUCAACGAGCCGGCGGAACGCCAGCCCGGCCCCCCCGGCCCCUCCGCCCGCAGACCUGCCCACCACGCCCGAGUCCGUCCCGCUGCAGGACAGCUGGGUCCUGGGCAGCAAUGUGCCGCUGGAAAGCCGGCACUUCCUCUUUAAGACAGGUACAGGAACGACCCCUCUGUUUAGCACGGCGACUCCGGGCUACACCAUGGCGACGGGGGCGGUGUACUCGCCCCCCACACGGCCACUGCCCCGCAACACACUGUCCCGCAGCGCCUUCAAGUUCAAGAAGUCGUCGAAGUACUGCUCAUGGAGGUGCACAGCCCUCAGCGCCGUCGCCGUGUCCGUCCUGCUGUCCAUCAUCCUCUGCUACUGCGUCGGUAAGUCCCACCCUCAUCUAUUACCUUAAUAACUUACUAAUAAUUGAACUUAAAUAGCACCUUU
RNAcentral lists this long non-coding RNA (1049 nucleotides) under Astyanax mexicanus (Mexican tetra). RNAcentral's name for it is "lncRNA (ENSAMXG00005001689.1)". Lineage: Eukaryota; Metazoa; Chordata; Actinopteri; Characiformes; Acestrorhamphidae. The record is from RNAcentral.